RNAcentral lists this ribosomal RNA (350 nucleotides) under Tardigrada environmental sample. RNAcentral's name for it is "SSU rRNA". It matches the Rfam family "Eukaryotic small subunit ribosomal RNA", at positions 594 to 945 of the family's 1831-position model. The record is from RNAcentral. Lineage: Eukaryota; Metazoa; Tardigrada.
AUAGCGUAUAUUAAAGUUGCUGCGGUUAAAAAGCUCGUAGUUGGAUCCGGGCCGUUCGACGCGUGGUGCGCCUUACGGCGUCUACUACGUGUUCGUCGCCACUAUCCGGCCAUGUCUUGCAUGUUCUUCACUGAGCGUGCUUGGCGACCGGGACGUUUACUUUGGAAAAAUUAGAGUGCUUAAAGCAGGCAUAUGGCCUUGCAUAAUGGUGCAUGGAAUAAUGGAAUAGGACCUCGGUUCUAUUUUGUUGGUUUUCGGAACUCGAGGUAAUGAUUAAGAGGAACAGACGGGGGCAUUCGUAUUGCGGCGUUAGAGGUGAAAUUCUUGGACCGCCGGAAGACGGACGACUG